GUGAGGAAUUUUCCGCAAUGGGCGAAAGCCUGACGGAGCAAUGCCGCGUGAAGGAUGAAGGCCUAUGGGUUGUAAACUUCUUUUCUCAGAAAAGAAUUAUGACGGUAUCUGAGGAAUAAGCAUCGGCUAACUCUGUGCCAGCAGCCGCGGUAAGACAGAGGAUGCAAGCGUUAUCCGGAAUGAUUGGGCGUAAAGCGUCUGUAGGUUGUUUAAAAAGUAUUCUGUCAAAGAUUAGGGCUUAACCCUAGAUAGGCAGAAUAAACUUUUAAGCUAGAGUUUGGUAGAGGCAGAGGGAAUUCCCGGUGGAGCGGUGAAAUGCGUCGAUAUCGGGAGGAACACCAAAGGCGAAGGCACUCUGCUGGGCCAAUACUAACACUGAGAGACGAAAGCGAGGGGAGCAAAUGGGAUUAGAUACCCGUGUAGUCC
Molecule: ribosomal RNA, 426 nt
Filed under: uncultured bacterium
Lineage: Bacteria
Description: partial 16S ribosomal RNA
Rfam family: Bacterial small subunit ribosomal RNA
Source: RNAcentral